AUUGAACGCUAGCGGCAGGCUUAACACAUGCAAGUCGAACGAGCGGCGGACGGGUGAGCAAUGUCUCGGAACGUGCACAAUGGAGGGGGAUAACUACUGGAAACGGUUGCUAAUACCGCAUAGUAUUGGAUCGGCCGAUAUAGGAUUAGCUAGGUGGUGGGGUAAAGGCUCACCACGGCCACGAUCCGUAGCUGGUCUGAGAGGAAGACCAGCCACACGGGAACUGAGACACGGUCCAGACUCCUACGGUAGGCAGCAGUGGGGAAUUGUGGACAAUGGGCGAAAGCCUGAUCCAGCCAUGCCGCGUGUAUGAAGAAGGCCUUCGGGUUGUAAAGUACUUUUAGCGGGGAGGCGGUACCUGCAGAAUAAGCACCGGCUAACUCCGUGCCAGCAGCCGCGGUAAUAC
This 406-nucleotide ribosomal RNA is filed under the name uncultured bacterium. Its description in RNAcentral is "partial 16S ribosomal RNA". It matches the Rfam family "Bacterial small subunit ribosomal RNA", at positions 30 to 526 of the family's 1533-position model. The record is from RNAcentral.